Molecule: ribosomal RNA, 823 nt
Filed under: Cotugnia cuneata
Lineage: Eukaryota; Metazoa; Platyhelminthes; Cestoda; Cyclophyllidea; Davaineidae
Description: partial 28S ribosomal RNA
Source: RNAcentral
UAGUCUCUGAGAGAGAGUCACAGUACGUGAAGCCGUUUGCAGGUAAACGGGUGGCGUCAAGCUGCGAGCCCGGAGAAUUCAGCUGGCCAGAUUGUAGUGUACGCGCCUGUGGCGUUAAAGGGCCAGAGUAAGAUGUAGUGAUCUACUUCUCUUAUGGAGGUGGGACUAUAGCUGUGGCCUCGGUUGCAGUUAUAGUUACGUGUGCCGAUCGGUUGUCGGAGCGUGUCACUCAUCUGUUGGGCCGUCUGGUCAGUGCACUUUCUCUGUGGUGAACACCACGACCGGUGGUAUUGCCAGUCUACUAUGGUCACGUCGUGUCUUUCUGAUAGCCUUGCUUUCUUACUCUUAAUCUAAGGGGUAGAUUGUGAUGGCUGUCUGGGAGACGCGAUCGCAGAUGGAAUGGGUACACGGCGUAGCGGUGUCUGUGCAUUGCUACGUGUUAUCGUGUGUCCGCUAUCAACGUGGUAUAUAUGGGGUGGGCUGUAACCGCGCUCUUAUAUACCUCGGCGGACCAUAGUAGUAAAAAGUAACUGUGCAAGGCACCGUGUUUAUCCGCCUCAGUCGGCUAGUCAUUUCAUUUUAUUGGGGUGAUUAGUUGAUAAUGUAUCUAGCACGCAUGUUACAGAUGCCAUUGUUAGGGAUUUCAUACUUGUCUGUACACGUUAGACUUGGGUGGCGUGUUUGUCCACGUAAAGUAGAUCCGUUGGUGGUCUGAUGUGAGCAAUGGGCAGUGCUGUGUUUCCUCGGGUGCUAUUGUCUUUAAUGAUACCGUGGGCGAGAAUAGUCAGUGGUGCUGUGGUAGAUAGCUGCCUGACCCGACUGC